Molecule: unclassified non-coding RNA, 293 nt
Filed under: uncultured Ambisporaceae
Lineage: Eukaryota; Fungi; Glomeromycota; Glomeromycetes; Archaeosporales; Ambisporaceae
Description: sequence contains 5.8S rRNA gene
Source: RNAcentral
GAACGCAUAUUGCACUUUCUGGUAAUUCAGAGAGUAUGCCUGUUUGAGGGUCAUUUAAAUCAUAAGUUCUAGAUUUCUUAGAAAAAAUGGGUCUUCCAAAUUUUAUGGUUACCUAAAAUGCAAGACUUGCCCAUUUUUUUGGGUUACGUGAUACUUGUUAUUCGUGACUUCCGAGAAAUCUGCAGGCGUGUUGUAAUUUUGCAAAAACGAAUCGAAUUUGUCAUUUGUCUUUGCAAAAUAUAAUAAAUUGAAUCUUGACCUCAAAUUAGGUAGGAGUACCCGCUGAACUUAAG